GCUGGGCAAGGAGGCACACGCCUGUAAUCCCAGCGGCUCAGGAGGCUGAGGCAGGAGGAUCGUGAGUGCAAGGACAGCCUCAGCCUCAACAAUUUAGUGAGGCCCUGAGCAAUUUAGCGAGACCCUGUCUCUA
RNAcentral lists this small RNA (133 nucleotides) under Marmota monax (woodchuck). Lineage: Eukaryota; Metazoa; Chordata; Mammalia; Rodentia; Sciuridae. The record is from RNAcentral.